GCCUGGGUGGCUCAGUUGGAUAAGCAUCUGACUUUGGCUCAGGUCUCACGGUUUGUGGGUUUGAGCCCCACGUUGGGCU
RNAcentral lists this transfer RNA (79 nucleotides) under Felis catus (domestic cat). It matches the Rfam family "tRNA". From Rfam's summary of the family: Transfer RNA (tRNA) molecules are approximately 80 nucleotides in length. Their secondary structure includes four short double-helical elements and three loops (D, anti-codon, and T loops). Further hydrogen bonds mediate the characteristic L-shaped molecular structure. tRNAs have two regions of fundamental functional importance: the anti-codon, which is responsible for specific mRNA codon recognition, and the 3' end, to which the tRNAs corresponding amino acid is attached (by aminoacyl-tRNA synthetases). tRNAs cope with the degeneracy of the genetic code in two manners: having more than one tRNA (with a specific anti-codon) for a particular amino acid; and 'wobble' base-pairing, i.e. permitting non-standard base-pairing at the 3rd anti-codon position. Lineage: Eukaryota; Metazoa; Chordata; Mammalia; Carnivora; Felidae. The record is from Rfam by way of RNAcentral.